GACGAACGCUGGCGGCGUGCUUAACACAUGCAAGUCGAACGGAAAGGCCCUUUCGGGGGUACUCGAGUGGCGAACGGGUGAGUAACACGUGGGUGAUCUGCCCUGCACUUUGGGAUAAGCCUGGGAAACUGGGUCUAAUACCGAAUAUACCUUGCUGGCUGCAUGGCCUGGUGGGGGAAAGCUUUUGCGGUGUGGGAUGGGCCCGCGGCCUAUCAGCUUGUUGGUGGGGUGAUGGCCUACCAAGGCGA
Molecule: ribosomal RNA, 248 nt
Filed under: uncultured Actinomycetes bacterium
Lineage: Bacteria; Bacillati; Actinomycetota; Actinomycetes
Description: uncultured actinobacterium partial 16S ribosomal RNA
Rfam family: Bacterial small subunit ribosomal RNA
Source: RNAcentral